This 258-nucleotide ribosomal RNA is filed under the name uncultured bacterium. Its description in RNAcentral is "partial 16S ribosomal RNA". It matches the Rfam family "Bacterial small subunit ribosomal RNA", at positions 96 to 354 of the family's 1533-position model. The record is from RNAcentral.
UGGCGAACGGGUGAGUAAUGCGUGACCGACCUGCCCCAUGCACCGGAAUAGCUCCUGGAAACGGGUGGUAAUGCCGGAUGUUCCACAUGAGCGCAUGCGAGUGUGGGAAAGGCUUUUUGCGGCAUGGGAUGGGGUCGCGUCCUAUCAGCUUGUUGGUGGGGUAACGGCCUACCAAGGCGUUGACGGGUAGCCGGCCUGAGAGGGCGACCGGCCACAUUGGGACUGAGAUACGGCCCAGACUCCUACGGAAGGCAGCAG